UAGGUGGAUUCCGAAAAACCUGUAAAUAGAGUAGGAU
RNAcentral lists this non-coding RNA (37 nucleotides) under unclassified sequences. RNAcentral's name for it is "DUF805b RNA". It matches the Rfam family "DUF805b RNA". From Rfam's summary of the family: Bacteroidetes, Chlorobi (1 example), Proteobacteria. Lineage (Flavobacteria) The record is from RNAcentral.